This 580-nucleotide ribosomal RNA is filed under the name uncultured bacterium. Its description in RNAcentral is "bacterial SSU rRNA". It matches the Rfam family "Bacterial small subunit ribosomal RNA", at positions 337 to 909 of the family's 1533-position model. The record is from RNAcentral.
UCCUACGGGAGGCAGCAGUAGGGAGUCUUCCGCAAUGGACGAAAGUCUGACGGAGCAACGCCGCGUGAGUGAUGAAGGUUUUCGGAUCGUAAAGCUCUGUUGUUAGGGAAGAACAAGUGCGAGAGUAACUGCUCGCACCUUGACGGUACCUAACCAGAAAGCCACGGCUAACUACGUGCCAGCAGCCGCGGUAAUACGUAGGUGGCAAGCGUUGUCCGGAAUUAUUGGGCGUAAAGCGCGCGCAGGUGGUUUAAUAAGUCUGAUGUAAAAGGCGGUGGCUCAACCAUUGUGUGCAUUGGAAACUGUUAGACUUGAGUGCAGUAGAGGAGAGUGGAAUUCCAUGUGUAGCGGUGAAAUGCGUAGAUAUAUGGAGGAACACCGGUGGCGAAAGCGGCUCUCUGGACUGUAACUGACACUGAGGCUCGAAGGCGUGGGUAGCAAACAGGAUUAGAUACCCUGGUAGUCCACGCCGUAAACGAUGAGUGCUAGUUGUUUGGGGCUAUCCAGCCCUAAGUGACGCAGCAAACGCAUUAAGCACUCCGCCUGGGGAGUACGACCGCAAGGUUGAAACUCAAAGGAA